AGGAGUGUAGCUCAGUUUGGAAGAGCAGCGGUCUCCAAAACCGCAGGCCGGGGGUUCGAGUCCCUCCACUCCUGCCA
RNAcentral lists this transfer RNA (77 nucleotides) under Dehalococcoidia bacterium. RNAcentral's name for it is "tRNA-Trp". It matches the Rfam family "tRNA". From Rfam's summary of the family: Transfer RNA (tRNA) molecules are approximately 80 nucleotides in length. Their secondary structure includes four short double-helical elements and three loops (D, anti-codon, and T loops). Lineage: Bacteria; Bacillati; Chloroflexota; Dehalococcoidia. The record is from RNAcentral.